Molecule: ribosomal RNA, 310 nt
Filed under: uncultured bacterium
Lineage: Bacteria
Description: bacterial SSU rRNA
Rfam family: Bacterial small subunit ribosomal RNA
Source: RNAcentral
GAUAAACGCUGGCGGCGUGCCUAAUGCAUGCAAGUCGCACGGGGUGUCCCGUUCGGGGGCAUCGAGUGGGCGAACGGGUGAGGAACGCGUGGACAACCUACCCCGGCGUGGGGGAGUACCCGCCAGAAAUAGGCGGCUAAUACCGCGUACGGUCGCCCGACGGAGGGUUGGGCGAAGAAAGCAGCGAUGCGCGCUGGGAGGGGUCUGCGGCCGAUUAGCUUGUUGGCGGGGUGACGGCCCACCAAGGCGANGAUCGGUAGCUGGUCUGAGAGGAUGAUCAGCCACACGGGGACUGAGACACGGCCCCGAC